GGAAUUUAGGAUGGGGAUUUUGCUCGUCAAACUCCAUAGUUUUGGGAUCUGCUCUUCUUCCUUUUGGGCUGAUUUACCCUAAGAUAGGUCUUCCUUUGAGAAAUCUUGACAUUUAUAAGUUUCAGAAGAAAGUUCAAGCUCGACUGUGCCUUGAGAUUUUGGAUAUAAGCGAGAAGCCAUUAGAAUGCAAGUUUUGCAAUCUUGAAUUGUUUGAUUG
Molecule: unclassified non-coding RNA, 217 nt
Filed under: Hevea brasiliensis (rubber tree)
Lineage: Eukaryota; Viridiplantae; Streptophyta; Magnoliopsida; Malpighiales; Euphorbiaceae
Source: RNAcentral